CCGCGCUGGGCCUUAAGGACCACCGGCCCUCUAUGUGUGCGCCUAUAGAUCUAUACGUACACACAGCCACAGCGCGGGGAAUCGGGGCUGCGGAGCCGUGCUGGGCGCAGCUGGGCCAGGCCUGCUCCCUCGCCCAGGGCGAGGCGCUGAUUAAUCUCCGUGUCUCCGGAAAAGGCGGGAAACGGGGACUUGAAAGCAAACAUCCCGAGGAAAGUCCCGGUUCCCGUGAGCUGAGUCGGAGGGCAGCGCUGGCUGAUGUGCCCGCACCGCUACCCAGGCAAAGCUCAAACAAACCCCCGCUUUUCAGGUAAAAACACGGAUCCCUUUGAAAGGAAGCCGCCCAACUAGCACUUAGACCCCAGGCCGCAAUGGAGAAAGUUCCAAUAACCACAAAAGUGUUUGAAUUUCGGGAGGAGAAACAUCGACAGACAGAAUUGCAGACAGCUGUGAGAUGCGAAGCGUAAUGAGAGCAGCAAAAGGACACGAUUAGCUGCUGUCACUUGAAGGCCAUGGCGGCUCCCCUGUAAACAGCUGAUGAAGGCUGGUGAGAGCUCACCUGCUCAGAGAUACGUACCGGGGAGGGGUCUGCAGGUUUGGGAGCGUUUGGUCAUUGGUUUCACAUAAAACCCCCACAAUGAAAGCCGUUUUCUCUUCUGUUGUGUGCAUCAAAGGCGCGUUGUGGAGAGCUCCAUGGCAGCGAGCUCACCCCCGAGGAACCGGCGGGCGAAACCCGGCUCUGAGCUCCUCCGCCCUUCCAAAGCUGUGCGUUUCCUACCCGCGCCCGCCGCCGCCGCUCAGCCCCAGCACAGCACUCCUGUCCUUUGGAAACGCGCACUGGAAACGAUGGAGCUCUGGCAGCUCGGCUGCACGCGCGGGCCCCCGCCCUCCGUGGGACUCACUCGUGGUGCUCACACUUGGCUGGGCUGUGUCAGCCCCACAUUCUGCUCAGCCACAGGGGCAGGGAAGAGGUUUUCAGGGGUUAAAUCACCUCUUUAAUCUCCAAGAAGGUCCCUCACAGCAGCUCUCAUUGCUAAUAUCUACGUCAAAAUAAACAGUCUCCCCUUCGACGCUGAGGUGGGACACUAAAAACCCGUUAUUUGGGAACGCCAGCCACGAACGCGCCCUGUGGGGCGGACGUGUGCUCUGAACGCACCGCUGGUUGUCGGCGCAGAAAACUGUCAAAUGCUGUGUGGCGCUCCAACGAGAAAACACUUUCACAUAGUACAAUUUUGUUAUUUUUCAAAACAGGAGAAGAAUCUGGCUUGCUUAAGCCGGCACCGGCGGCACACCAGCUUUGGUUCUGGAAGACUGAACUGCUUUCGAAAAUAUUUGUGCUUGCUAACGUAAUAUCAGAGCUCCCAAGCGCUCCGGGUGCUAUCCGGAGUACAUACCGGGAGCCUCCAUUCCCAAAGGGCGACCUCCCAGCCGCAAGGGAGGGGAGACCCCUGGGGUCCCGCAGUUUACUUCCUCAGUGGGUCUCUCCAGCCCUGCUGGUUUUGCUCACCUGGGGACACGCAGGGGCAGCCGGGGGUGUCUCUGGCUGCAGGAGGAGCUGGGGGCUCAGCACCCCCCGCCCCGCUCCGUGUCUUCCUGCUGACAUCCCCGAUAACAAACGUCGCACCCCUCCCCGAAAGCCCACAAAGAGCAGUGUGCUGUUUGUGUUCUCCCUGCAGUACUUAACACUUCUUUUAGAUUAAUUUAAUUUUAAUGUAAUCUGAUAAGAGCGGUAAAACUGUCAAAGAAA
This is a long non-coding RNA of Columba livia (rock pigeon), 1744 nucleotides long. RefSeq lists it as uncharacterized. The transcript has 2 exons. The record is from RefSeq and is a predicted model, not a curated record. NCBI's taxonomy places the organism in Eukaryota, Metazoa, Chordata, Aves, Columbiformes, Columbidae.